GUCCUUUUGAAUUUAAUUUAAGGUUUGACCUGCCCACUGAUUUAUAUUUGAAGGGCCGCAGUAAUUUGACUGUGCAAAGGUAGCAUAAUCAUUAGUUUUUUAAUUAAAAGCUUGUAUGAAGGGUUGGACGAGGUAAAUUCUGUCUUUAUUUAAUUUAUUAUAGAAUUUAAUUUUUAAGUUAAAAAGCUUAAAUUUGAUUAAAAGACGAGAAGACCCUAUAGAUCUUUAUAUUAUUUUUAUUAAUCUUAAUUAAGAUUAUUUAAUUUUUUAAUAAAUUUAAUAUUUUAUUGGGGUAAUAAAAAGAUUAGAUUAAUUCUUUUUUAAAAUUUACAUUAAUAAAUGAGUUUAUGAUCCAAUAUUAUUGAUUAAAAGAUUAAGUUACCUUAGGGAUAACAGCGUAAUAUUUUUAGAGAGUUCAUAUCGAUAAAAAAGUUUGCGACCUCGAUGUUGGAUUAAAAAUUAUUUUAGGUGUAGAAGCUUAAAAUUUUGGUCUGUUCGACCAUUAAAUUUUUACAUGAUCUGAGUUCAGACCGGCGUAAGCCAGGUCGGUUUCUAUCUUUAAUAAAUUUUAAUAUUUUAGUACGAAAGGACCAGAUAUUAGAUAUUUAUAUAUUUAAUAAUUUUGAAUAU
RNAcentral lists this ribosomal RNA (630 nucleotides) under Ilybius pederzanii. Its description in RNAcentral is "partial 16S ribosomal RNA". It matches the Rfam family "Bacterial large subunit ribosomal RNA", at positions 1819 to 2748 of the family's 2925-position model. Lineage: Eukaryota; Metazoa; Arthropoda; Insecta; Coleoptera; Dytiscidae. The record is from RNAcentral.